This 254-nucleotide ribosomal RNA is filed under the name uncultured bacterium. RNAcentral describes it as "partial 16S ribosomal RNA". It matches the Rfam family "Bacterial small subunit ribosomal RNA", at positions 524 to 776 of the family's 1533-position model. The record is from RNAcentral.
UACGUAGGGAGCAAGCGUUGUCCGGAAUCAUUGGGCGUAAAGCGCGCGUAGGUGGCUUCAUAAGUCCGUUGUGAAAGUCAAAGGCUCAACCUUUGAAAGCCGAUGGAUACUGUGAAGCUAGAGUACGGAAGAGGCGAGUGGAAUUCCUGGUGUAGCGGUGGAAUGCGCAGAUAUCAGGAGGAACACCAAUAGCGAAGGCAGCUCGCUGGGACGUUACUGACACUGAGGCGCGAAAGCGUGGGGGAGCGAACAGG